GACCGAGGGUGCAAACGUUGUUCGGAAUUACUGGGCGUAAAGCGUGUGUAGGCGGCUAUGUAAGUCGGAUGUGAAAGCCCCGGGCUCAACUCGGGAAGUGCACUCGAUACUGCGUAGCUAGAGUACCGGAGAGGUUGGUGGAAUUCUCGGUGUAGAGGUGAAAUUCGUAGAUAUCGAGAGGAACACCGGUGGCGAAGGCGGCCAACUGGACGAGUACUGACGCUGAGACACGAAAGCGUGGGGAGCAAACAGG
This 253-nucleotide ribosomal RNA is filed under the name uncultured bacterium. RNAcentral describes it as "partial 16S ribosomal RNA". It matches the Rfam family "Bacterial small subunit ribosomal RNA", at positions 524 to 776 of the family's 1533-position model. The record is from RNAcentral.